GGGGAUUUGGCUCAGAGGUAGAGUGCUUGCCUAGCAAGCGCAAGGCCCUGGGUUCGAUCCCCAGCUCCG
RNAcentral lists this transfer RNA (69 nucleotides) under Rattus norvegicus (Norway rat). It matches the Rfam family "tRNA". Rfam says of the family: Transfer RNA (tRNA) molecules are approximately 80 nucleotides in length. Their secondary structure includes four short double-helical elements and three loops (D, anti-codon, and T loops). The record is from Rfam by way of RNAcentral. Lineage: Eukaryota; Metazoa; Chordata; Mammalia; Rodentia; Muridae.